Long non-coding RNA from Corvus hawaiiensis (hawaiian crow), 1324 nucleotides. RefSeq lists it as uncharacterized. The record is from RefSeq and is a predicted model, not a curated record. Lineage: Eukaryota; Metazoa; Chordata; Aves; Passeriformes; Corvidae. The transcript has 3 exons.
AGUUCUGUGUUUUGGAUUCAGUGUGAGAAUAAUGUUGAUAACACACUGAUGUUGUAGUUGUUGCUAAGCAGUGCUUACUCUAAAUCAGCUUCCCAGGCUCUGCCAGUGAGGAAGUGCACAAGAAGCUGGGAGUGAGCAUGGCCAGGAAAGCUGACUCGAACUGGCCAGAGGGUAGAAUAGAGGCAACCACAUAACAGAUACGGACUGUACUCAGCCCAGAAUGACAAGCAGAGCGUCUCCAGGCUCUCACCACGCACCGCAAACCAGAACUGCUAAAGAACCCUAUCACAAAAGAACAAAAGGCACAAAACCCUGGAACAUACCACAGAAAAGCCAAAGAUACCAAAGACAACAGCAGUGGGUAAGUAGCAAUCACAGCAGGGAGUUCGAUAGAUGAACGCCUAUGUAAGUCUCAGAAGUACUGUGUGUCCCAUGUCAGUGAGAGGCACAGACACCCCUGUGGCAGGUAUCACAGACACAGGGACAGUCUCUGUGACAGUGCUGCUGCCUCACUGUGGGACUUGGAGAUACUCUUUCUGCUGAGCCAUGCUACAGAGAGGAGAGCACAAGAAAACUCAUUCCAACUAAUUUCUUAGAGCAAAUAGCACUAUUUUUCCAUCAUGAGACGUGCAGGUUGAGUUGAGAAACAAUAAACAAGAGGAUAAUUAAAUGAACAAAAUUAGAAUUUUUAAAGAGGGCUCAGCCAUCAAGUAUAUGGUAAAGGAUGCAUAACUGAAAAAUGUUGGUGCUUCUCUCCCCAUGGUUCCAAGCUCAUCAGAAAUAAUCCUUCUAGUGUGGUUCCCUUCAAGAGAGAGAUAUUCACCCAGUAAAUAUCCCUGUAAUUCUCCUUUCCUUUAGCUGCUCAUGGCUUGUUUAACAUGCCUGUGUGGAAUUUCACAUCCCCAACCCCUUGCAAACCUUUCGAAUGAGAAACAGGUGUUCCAGGGAUGGCUGAGAAAGCGCACUGUGUUUAUCAGCUGUGUAAACUUACGUUGAAGAAAUUUGUCUUGUUCCUCUCACAGAAGAGGCCCUGUGCAGGCAUGUGCUUCAGCUGCUGCCAGGGCACCCCGCUGCCCAGAAGCACGUCCCGGGCCCACUGCAGGUUCUGUGGACAAGAAAGGGCAGGGUUUGAAAGUGGCAUUUGAGUCGCAUUUGACCAGCUUUUGUAUGGACAACUUCACAAGACAGGACAUGAAAGAAAGAGGAAGAUGUUUGGUUCACAGAGACAAAUGAGAAUGUUGGACUCUAGCUUGUGUUCUGUGGACUGGAAAUACACUUCUGUGAGUCAUAAAUGUGAUUAAAUCACGUCCAUGAAAGAAGCGUA